CCUCGCAGAGCUGCGCUGCCAGUGCAACGUGCUCCUGACUGACUGACAGAAGACUGCAAGGGAGAAGAGAAGAGGCAAAGCAGAAGAGCUGUUCACACACACACACGCAAAAUGGUAUUUAUGAGUUUCUUAUUAUUGUAUUUACUCAAACUGAGCCAGGACGAAAAGAGGAAAUAUGCAAUGAACACAGGCAAAUGUUGAGGCAAGCUGCAGCACACAGGAUUUUCUCUGAGACGACAGCCACGAGUACUCAGGGAACUGAGAAGAGAGCAGUAUCUCACAACAGCAGCACUUCACAGGACUUGCACCCUCCCACACCCCUCUGACAACACACAGCACCACUGGCACAUCUCUUCGAGCCAGGUAACAAGAGGGGAAGCUGUUAAAGAAGCUGCACACUUCAGCGAGAUCUUGGGCACUUCUUGGUACAAAGCUUGGAAAACGACAAUGAAGCACAUGAUGCCUCUUCCUUUCCGUAGCCGGGGACUGACAGCAAGGAUAUCAUAACCUCUAGCUUUCCUGCACAGCAAGAAAAUCCUACUGAUGACGAAGCUAGAGAAUGUGUGGAGUCUUAGAUGUAAAAUAAGAGGAAGAUUCUAAUGUUUAUGCAGCAGCUAGUAUUCUAUAGCUAGACCUUCAGUUCCAAAUCUGUAACACCAAUUCCUCUCAAGAAAAACACCUUACCUCUUCAUAUUCCCUUGUGUUACCCUGUUCAUCUCUCAGACCCUCCUCCCUGCACACAUGCAUACAGAUAAAACAGAUCUUUUCCCUGGACCUCAUUUGUCAAUGUUUCAAGGCUUUGUAAGUUUUUAUGCACCAGUACAGUCUGUUCCCUGGCUCCUCAUGGAGGUAUUUUCAUGCUCUCUCUAUUGCUACCACGCUCUUCUGAUCCUGACAGAUGCCUUCUGUCUUCCUUUAUGUCCAGCUGAUCCAACACGUUCUCACAAGCCCUGCUUUAAAUUAAGACUGUUACAUAAAGCAUUACUAAACUCGUA
Rhea pennata is the source of this 995-nucleotide long non-coding RNA. RefSeq lists it as uncharacterized. The transcript has 3 exons. Lineage: Eukaryota; Metazoa; Chordata; Aves; Rheiformes; Rheidae. The record is from RefSeq and is a predicted model, not a curated record.